CGCUGCCCUCGGCUCGGCUCAGCUCGGCGCUGCUGCAGCCGCAGAGCCGCUGGCUGGCGUGCAGCGCGCAGAGCGGGGCUAAAGCGCUGAGAAAAAGCAUGUCUCUGGUUUUUCUUAAGCAUCCUCAAAGACCUCAAAACUCGUCCGGCUCAAACCAGACUCUGGCCCCGUGGCUCCUAUAGAGACGUACAAAGACUGCGAGUGCUACGGCCACUCCAACCGCUGCAGCUACAUCGACUUCCUGAACGUGGUGACCUGCGUGAGCUGCAAGCACAACACGCGGGGCCAGCACUGCCAGCACUGCCGCCUGGGCUUCUACCGCAACAGCUCGGCCGAGCUGGACGACGAGAACGUCUGCAUAGAGUGUAACUGCAACCAGAUCGGCUCCGUGCACGACCGCUGCAACGAGACCGGCUACUGUGAAUGCAAGGAAGGCGCCACGGGACCCAAGUGCGAUGACUGCCUGCCCAACUACUACUGGAGACAGGGCUGUUUCCCCAACGUCUGCGACGACGAGCUUCUGCUCUGCCAGAACGGCGGCACCUGCUACCAGAACCAGCGGUGCCUCUGCCCGGCGGGCUUCAAGGGGGUCCUGUGCCAGCAGCCCCGGUGCGACGCCGACAGGAAGGACUGCGACGCCGCCCCCGGCGCCCGCGCCGGCCUCGGCACCCUCCUCCUCGGCGCGCUGGCCCUCCAGCUGCAGGGCUGGGCGGACCUCUGAAGCCUGCGCCGGAGGCAGCCCGGUCCAGGCACGUCACCGGAGGACCCGGGGGGACUAA
This 779-nucleotide long non-coding RNA is filed under the name Apteryx owenii (little spotted kiwi). RNAcentral describes it as "lncRNA (ENSAOWG00000005701.1)". The record is from RNAcentral. Lineage: Eukaryota; Metazoa; Chordata; Aves; Apterygiformes; Apterygidae.